UACGGAGGAUCCGAGCGUUAUCCGGAUUUAUUGGGUUUAAAGGGUGCGCAGGCGGGAGAUUAAGUCGGCGGUGAAAUUUUGCAGCUCAACUGUAAAAGUGCCUUCGAAACUGGUUUCCUUGAGUGUAGAUGAAGUAGGCGGAAUUUGUGGUGUAGCGGUGAAAUGCAUAGAUAUCACGCAGAACUCCGAUUGCGAAGGCAGCUUACUAAGCUACAACUGACACUGAAGCACGAAAGCGUGGGGAUCAAACAGGAUUAGAUACCCCCGUAGU
RNAcentral lists this ribosomal RNA (271 nucleotides) under uncultured prokaryote. RNAcentral's name for it is "partial 16S ribosomal RNA". It matches the Rfam family "Bacterial small subunit ribosomal RNA", at positions 524 to 794 of the family's 1533-position model. The record is from RNAcentral.